This 236-nucleotide ribosomal RNA is filed under the name uncultured Staphylococcus sp. Its description in RNAcentral is "partial 16S ribosomal RNA". It matches the Rfam family "Bacterial small subunit ribosomal RNA", at positions 104 to 334 of the family's 1533-position model. The record is from RNAcentral. Lineage: Bacteria; Bacillati; Bacillota; Bacilli; Caryophanales; Staphylococcaceae.
GGGUGAGUAACACGUGGAUAACCUACCUAUAAGACUGGGAUAACUUCGGGAAACCGGAGCUAAUACCGGAUAAUAUUUUGGACCGCAUGGUUCAAAAGUGAAAGACGGUCUUGCUGUCACUUAUAGAUGGAUCCGCGCUGCAUUAGCUAGUUGGUAAGGUAACGGCUUACCAAGGCAACGAUGCAUAGCCGACCUGAGAGGGUGAUCGGCCACACUGGAACUGAGACACGGUCCAG